This 253-nucleotide ribosomal RNA is filed under the name uncultured bacterium. RNAcentral's name for it is "partial 16S ribosomal RNA". It matches the Rfam family "Bacterial small subunit ribosomal RNA", at positions 524 to 776 of the family's 1533-position model. The record is from RNAcentral.
UACGUAGGGAGCAAGCGUUGUUCGGAUUUACUGGGCGUAAAGGGUGCGUAGGCGGCGCGUCAAGUCAGUUGUGAAAUCUUAAGGCUUAACCUUAAACGGUCAACUGAUACUGUCGUGCUAGAGUGCAGAAAGGGCAAUCGGAAUUCUUGGUGUAGCGGUGAAAUGCGUAGAUAUCAAGAGGAACACCUGAGGCGAAGGCGGGUUGCUUGGCUGACACUGACGCUGAGGCACGAAAGCUAGGGUAGCAAACGGG